GCAUUAAUGGGGUAGGGGUAGCCUGGGUCGUUGCCAUCGACUUGGCGGGGGUUCGAUUCCCCCCGUAAUGCA
Molecule: transfer RNA, 72 nt
Filed under: Ganoderma leucocontextum
Lineage: Eukaryota; Fungi; Basidiomycota; Agaricomycetes; Polyporales; Polyporaceae
Description: tRNA-Gly
Rfam family: tRNA
About the family: Transfer RNA (tRNA) molecules are approximately 80 nucleotides in length.
Source: RNAcentral